Papaver somniferum (opium poppy) is the source of this 1638-nucleotide long non-coding RNA. RefSeq lists it as uncharacterized. The record is from RefSeq and is a predicted model, not a curated record. Lineage: Eukaryota; Viridiplantae; Streptophyta; Magnoliopsida; Ranunculales; Papaveraceae. The transcript has 2 exons.
CUCCUUUUUGCUGCUUUCCACUGGUUUACUUAGUCUGAUCUUUAAUAUCUGUCAUGCCAUCCAAUAUUGUGUAUUGAACUUUCCAUAUGUGUGCUCGCAGAAGGCACUCCCGUCAGUUUCAGUUUCCUUGAGUAUUGACAUUCUUCAUUUACCACAAGGCAAAUCCAGGCCACCGCGUAGUUCCGUGAACUGAGCGGCUGCCAAGGCAAAGCCAAGCCAACGUUCAGUUCCGUGAACUGAGCGGACGCCAAAUGCAGACCCCUCAGUUCCGUGAACUGUGAGGCUGCUAAGGCAAAGGCAGGCAACUGUUUAGUCCCGUGAACUGAAAGGUCACAAAGGCAGGCAUCAAUCGGUUCCGUGAACUGAAAGAGGCUGGAAAGAUGUGUGGUAAAUGAAGAACGUCUCACCAACCAAAUCAGCUUCGGAAUAUAUUAUAUACUAUGUAAUUCAACUGCAACUAUCGGAACACAGCUUAGUGAGCUUCUUUUUCUCUCCUCUAUAAUCAAUAUUUGGGUUUUCGCUUCUCAUUUCAUCAUAUUGUCUUUCUUUCUCGCUGUCUCGCCGAUUCUUCUACUCAUUCAGGUCUAUCAGUCUUAUUCAUGGUUUCCGCCAUUUUUCUGGUUAGAGUUUGGAGUCAUGCAUAUAACUGUCAUCUGGCGUAGAUUUUUUUUUGCAAAUAAAAAAGUAAUCAUCUGUAUUUAACUCUAUACAAGGUCAAAAGGUAAACAUUCUCAACUCUAACUCAAUGUUUUCAUUGUUAUGCAUAAAUUGUUUCUAACUUGAGCGUCGGAGUAUAUUUUUUGUUUUUUGCAGGUGUUGCCUUUUUAUGCUGGUGCCUCGCGGGGAAUUUUAUUUGUUUGGCUUCUGAUCAGUUUGCUUUUACGGGAUGUCUGGAUUAGAAUAGGUCUUGCCUGCUUUUUCAGAUGCCACUCAUUAGGGAGGAUUGCUUAAUGUGGGAUGCCGGUGGCUGGUAGAGAGUGCUUGCCUGGUUGUUGUCAGGGUAUGUUCAGACCAAAGCAGCUGAUGUUUAGCUUUUAUUUUGUUUCUUUACUAGACUAUUAGAUGUAGAAAUGUGGGCAUCCAGUAAUGGUGAACUGAUAACCAAAUUUGUAGGAGUGCACUAGAAGUUCUAUGGUACACAGUGGCUUGCCUUGGCUUCCUUGACCUUGUAUUUGAGAUUAAGAGGCCUGUUGGCGAGUGGGUAGGGAGGGUGACCUUUUAUCUAAUUCCAUUUUAUUAGCCUUUUUAUGCAUGUUAUUGAAACAUUCGUUCAUGAACUAUGCUGUGAUCUGUGUUGCAGAGAUACAUGGAUUUAGGAAUCUGGGCCAUCAGUAGAUUAAGUUGAAUAAGCAGGACAAGUUCCCAAUAUUCAUGUAAAACAUGUUACGAACUGUUGGUCAUAAGAUUCUAGUAAGAACAAAAGCCACCCACGGUGCACUUGACUUUCGGAUUUUUAUUAAGGCACUUCACCCUUUGUUGUUACGAGAAUGGUGGUACAAUCUAACUGGGUUGGCAAUAAUACUCAUGGAACUUGGUCAUGUUCUUUCAAAUCAUGAGCACCCGUAGAAUGAUGAUAUGAAGGUUACCUGGUUUUUGUAACCGUCUCCUAUUUGAUAUGCCAGCUUAAUUUUACUGCAA